AGUGAACGCUGGCGGUAGGCCUAACACAUGCAAGUCGAACGGCAGCACAGUAAGAGCUUGCUCUUACGGGUGGCGAGUGGCGGACGGGUGAGGAAUACAUCGGAAUCUACUUUUUCGUGGGGGAUAACGUAGGGAAACUUACACUAAUACCGCAUACGACCUACGGGUGAAAGCAGGGGAUCUUCGGACCUUGCGCGAUUGAAUGAGCCGAUGUCGGAUUAGCUAGUUGGCGGGGUAAAGGCCCACCAAGGCGACGAUCCGUAGCUGGUCUGAGAGGAUGAUCAGCCACACUGGAACUGAGACACGGUCCAGACUCCUACGGGGGGCAGCAGUGGGGAAUAUUGGACAAUGGGCGCAAGCCUGAUCCAGCCAUACCGCGUGGGUGAAGAAGGCCUUCGGGUUGUAAAGCCCUUUUGUUGGGAAAGAAAAGCAGCAGGUUAAUACCCCGCUGUUCUGACGGUACCCAAAGAAUAAGCACCGGCUAACUUCGUG
RNAcentral lists this ribosomal RNA (492 nucleotides) under uncultured bacterium. RNAcentral's name for it is "partial 16S ribosomal RNA". It matches the Rfam family "Bacterial small subunit ribosomal RNA", at positions 29 to 507 of the family's 1533-position model. The record is from RNAcentral.